UUCGUUUUAUUAAAAAGAGUUGAAAAGCUGACAGUGAAUUGUAAGAAGUCUGACCUUGUGGGAACUUUUAUUUUAAACAAGGAGACCCUAAUGGACAGAAUCAAGAAGCAGCUGCGCGAGUGGGACGGAAACCUGCGGGACGCCUCGCUCCCUUCCAGUCCGAUAGAUUUUUCUUACAGAGUAGCCGCUUGUCUUCCCAUUGACGAUGCAUUAA
Long non-coding RNA from Hipposideros armiger (great roundleaf bat), 214 nucleotides. RefSeq lists it as uncharacterized. Lineage: Eukaryota; Metazoa; Chordata; Mammalia; Chiroptera; Hipposideridae. The transcript has 2 exons. The record is from RefSeq and is a predicted model, not a curated record.